GGCAGCAGCCGCGGGAACACCGGCGGCCCGAGUGGUGAUCGUGAUUAUUGGGUCUAAAGGGUCCGUAGCCGGUUUGGUCAGUCCUCCGGGAAAUCUGAUAGCUCAACUAUUAGGCUUUCGGGGGAUACUGCCAGACUUGGAACCGGGAGAGGUAAGAGGUACUACAGGGGUAGGAGUGAAAUCUUGUAAUCCCUGUGGGACCACCUGUGGCGAAGGCGUCUUACCAGAACGGGUUCGACGGUGAGGGACGAAAGCUGGGGGCACGAACCGGAUUAGAUACCCGGGUAGUCCCAGCCGUAAACGAUGCUCGCUAGGUGUCAGGCAUGGCGCGACCGUGUCUGGUGCCGCAGGGAAGCCGUGAAGCGAGCCACCUGGGAAGUACGGCCGCAAGGCUGAAACUUAAAGGAAUUGGCGGGGGAGCACAACAACGGGUGGAGCCCUGCGGUUUAAUUGGACUCAACGCCGGACAACUCACCGGGGGCGACAGCAAUAUGUAGGCCAAGCUGAAGACUUUGCCUGAAUCGCUGAGAAGUGGUGCAUGG
Molecule: ribosomal RNA, 542 nt
Filed under: uncultured archaeon
Lineage: Archaea
Description: bacterial SSU rRNA
Rfam family: Archaeal small subunit ribosomal RNA
Source: RNAcentral